Molecule: ribosomal RNA, 476 nt
Filed under: uncultured bacterium
Lineage: Bacteria
Description: SSU rRNA
Rfam family: Bacterial small subunit ribosomal RNA
Source: RNAcentral
AGGACGAACGCUGGCGGCGUGCUUAACACAUGCAAGUCGAGCGAGGCUCUUCCUUCGGGGAGAUGCCCUAGCGGCGAACGGGUGAGUAACACGUGGGCAACCUGCCCCUAGCACUGGGAUAACUCCGGGAAACCGGGGCUAAUACCAGAUAUGACCUUUGAGGGCAUCCUCUUUGGUGUAAAGGAUUCUGGCUAGGGAUGGGCCCGCGGCCUAUCAGCUUGUUGGUGGGGUAAUGGCCCACCAAGGCGACGACGGGUAGCCGGCCUGAGAGGGCGACCGGCCACACUGGGACUGAGACACGGCCCAGACUCCUACGGGAGGCAGCAGUGGGGAAUAUUGCACAAUGGGCGAAAGCCUGAUGCAGCGACGCCGCGUGAGGGAUGACGGCCUUCGGGUUGUAACCUCUUUCAGCAGGGACGAAGCGAAGUGACGGUACCUGCAGAAGAAGCACCGGCCAACUACGCGCCAGCAGCCGC